ACAAGUAUCAUAGCGUAGACCCGAAACCGAGUGAUCUAUCCAUGGCCAGGAUGAAGGUUGGGUAACACCAACUGGAGGUCCGAACCCACUAAUGUUGAAAAAUUAGGGGAUGAGCUGUGGAUAGGGGUGAAAGGCUAAACAAACUCGGAAAUAGCUGGUUCUCUCCGAAAACUAUUUAGGUAGUGCCUCAAGUAUUGCUUGCGGGGGUAGAGCACUGUUAUGGCUAGGGGGUCAUUGCGACUUACCAACCCAUGGCAAACUCCGAAUACCGCAAAGUAUGAGCUUGGGAGACAGACAUCGGGUGCUAACGUCCGGUGUCAAGAGGGAAACAACCCAGACCGCCAGCUAAGGUCCCUAAUAUAUGCUAAGUGGGAAACGAAGUGGGAAGGCUAARACAGUCAGGAUGUUGGCUUAGAAGCAGCCAUCAUUUAAAGAAAGCGUAAUAGCUCACUGAUCGAGUCGUCCUGCGCGGAAGAUGUAACGGGGCUAAGCCAGUUACCGAAGCUGCGGAUUUGCAMGCAAKUGCAAGUGGUAGGAGAGCGUUCUGUACGCCUGUGAAGGUGGMUYGUGAAGGCUGCUGGAGGUAUCAGAAGUGCGAAUGCUGACAUGAGUAGCGUUAAAGGGGGUGAAAAGCCCCCUCGCCGAAAGCGCAAGGUUUCCUACGCAACGUUCAUCGGCGUAGAGUGAGUCGGCCCCUAAGGCGAGGCAGAGAUGCGUAGCUGAUGGGAAACAGGUCAAUAUUCCUGUACCGAUGUAUAGUGCGAUGUGGGGACGGAGAAGGUUAGCUCAGCCGGGUGUUGGAUGUCCCGGUUCAAGCCUGUAGUCAUGCCUGGUAGGCAAAUCCGCCGGGCUUAGAUGAGGGGUGAUAACGAGGAAGCAUGCUUCUGAAGUGAGUGAUACCCUGCUUCCAGGAAAAGCCACUAAGCUUCAGCUAUACACGACCGUACCGCAAACCGACACUGGUGCGCGAGAUGAGUAUUCUAAGGCGCUUGAGAGAACUCUGGAGAAGGAACUCGGCAAAUUGACACCGUAACUUCGGAAGAAGGUGUGCCUUUAGUAGGUGAAGUCGUACAGACGGAGCCCAAUGAGGCCGCAGAGAAUCGGUGGCUGCGACUGUUUAUUAAAAACACAGCACUCUGCAAAGACGAAAGUCGACGUAUAGGGUGUGACGCCUGCCCGGUGCUGGAAGAUUAAAUGAUGGGGUGCAAGCUCUUGAYUGAAGUCCCAGUAAACGGCGGCCGUAACAAUAACGGUCCUAAGGUAGCGAAAUUCCUUGUCGGGUAAGUUCCGACCUGCACGAAUGGCGUAACGAUGGCCACACUGUCUCCUCCGCAGACUCAGCGAAGUUGAAAUGUUUGUGAUGAUGCAAUCUCCCCGCGGCUAGACGGAAAGACCCCAUGAACCUUUACUGCAGCUUUGCAUGGUAUGUUGAAUCGUCUUGUGUAGGAUAGGUGGGAGACUAUGAAGCGGUCACGCUAGUGAUUGUGGAGUCGUCCUUGAAAUACCACCCUGGAUUAUUUGACGUUCUAACCACGGCCAGUGAAUCCUGGCUUGGGACAGUGCAUGGUAGGCAGUUUGACUGGGGCGGUCUCCUCCCAAAGUGUAACGGAGGAGUUCGAAGGUACGCUUAACACGGUCGGACAUCGUGUGUAAAGUGCAAUGGCAAAAGCGUGCUUAACUGCGAGACAGACAAGUCGAGCAGGUGCGAAAGCAGGACAUAGUGAUCCGGUGGGUU
This 1735-nucleotide ribosomal RNA is filed under the name Asellus aquaticus. Its description in RNAcentral is "bacterial LSU rRNA". Lineage: Eukaryota; Metazoa; Arthropoda; Malacostraca; Isopoda; Asellidae. The record is from RNAcentral.